GAUGAACGCUGGCGGCGUGCCUAAUACAUGCAAGUCGAGCGAACGGACGAGAAGCUUGCUUCUCUGAUGUUAGCGGCGGACGGGUGAGUAACACGUGGAUAACCUACCUAUAAGACUGGGAUAACUUCGGGAAACCGGAGCUAAUAGCGGAUAAUAUUUUGAACCGCAUGGUUCAAAAGUGAAAGACGGUCUUGGUGUCACUUAUAGAUGGAUCCGCGCUGCAUUAGCUAGUUGGUAAGGUAACGGCUUACCAAGGCAACGAUGCAUAACCGACCUGAGAGGGUGGUCGGCCACACUGGAACUGGGACACCGUCCAGACUCCUACGGGAGGCAGCAGUAGCGAAUCUUCCGCAAUAGGCGGAAGCCUGACGGAGCAACGCCGCGUGAGUGAUGAAGGUCUUCGGAUCGUAAAACUCUGUUAUUAGGGAAGAACAUCUGUGUAAGUAACUGUGCACAUCUUGACGGUACCUAAUCAGAAAGCCCCGGCUAACUACGUG
This 497-nucleotide ribosomal RNA is filed under the name uncultured bacterium. RNAcentral describes it as "partial 16S ribosomal RNA". It matches the Rfam family "Bacterial small subunit ribosomal RNA", at positions 28 to 507 of the family's 1533-position model. The record is from RNAcentral.